GAUGAACGCUGGCGGCGUGCUUAACACAUGCAAGUCGAACGAAGCACUUUACUACGAUUUCUUCGGAAUGACGGUUUUGUGACUGAGUGGCGGACGGGUGAGUAACGCGUGGAUAACCUGCCUCAUACAGGGGGAUAACAGCCGGAAACGGCUGCUAAUACCGCAUAAGCGCACGGUACCGCAUGGUACAGUGUGAAAAACUCCGGUGGUAUGGGAUGGAUCCGCGUCUGAUUAGCCAGUUGGCGGGGUAACGGCCCACCAAAGCGACGAUCAGUAGCCGACCUGAGAGGGUGACCGGCCACAUUGGGACUGAGACACGGCCCAAACUCCUACGGGAGGCAGCAGUGGGAAUAUUGCACAAUGGGGGGAACCCUGACGCAGCAACGCCGCGUGAAGGAAGAAGGCUUUCGGGGUCGUAAAACUUUUGUCUGGAGGACGAUAGUGACGGUACCUCCGGAGGAAGCCACGGCUAACUACGUG
RNAcentral lists this ribosomal RNA (480 nucleotides) under uncultured bacterium. Its description in RNAcentral is "bacterial SSU rRNA". It matches the Rfam family "Bacterial small subunit ribosomal RNA", at positions 28 to 507 of the family's 1533-position model. The record is from RNAcentral.